This 108-nucleotide small nucleolar RNA is filed under the name Myotis brandtii (Brandt's bat). RNAcentral describes it as "Small nucleolar RNA SNORA17". It matches the Rfam family "Small nucleolar RNA SNORA17". From Rfam's summary of the family: snoRNA ACA 17 belongs to the H/ACA family of snoRNAs and is predicted to guide pseudouridylation of the 28S rRNA at positions U4659 and U4598. It shares the same host gene together with ACA43. Lineage: Eukaryota; Metazoa; Chordata; Mammalia; Chiroptera; Vespertilionidae. The record is from Rfam by way of RNAcentral.
UCUGCACAACAAAAGAAACCACCAUCACCAUUAGGUGGCAGAGAGCAGAGGCUCGCCUACGCCCAGUGUCCUGGCUGUGGGUGCCUGGAUGGUUGAUGGCCUGACACG